UGCAUUCUAGAGAUGGCAUUAGGGCG
Molecule: non-coding RNA, 26 nt
Filed under: Rattus norvegicus (Norway rat)
Lineage: Eukaryota; Metazoa; Chordata; Mammalia; Rodentia; Muridae
Source: RNAcentral